CAUUUUACUACUUUUACACACUGAUGUACACAUCUGUUGGCCAGGCUCAGUUUUGAGCAUUCUUCAUGCUUAACCUAUUUCCAUUCCCUAGAUCUUUAUUCUAGCGAUUGAGAUGAAAUGAUCAGCUGUGGUGUUUCUCUAAAAGCCUCAUUGGUGGAAGACUUCUGGUAAGUCUGGUGUAUCUCAAACUAUUCCUUGGCCUUUUUAAAAUAGAGUUUAGAAACUCAAUAUUUGAAUCAAUUCAUUGUUUCUUGUCCAGUUUAUCUCCUUUCUCAUUCAGUCCCCCACUUAUAGGGUGAUCCAGAACUUACCAUGUGAUCAGUAGCUGUAUUGGAGUAAUUUAAAUAGCCUAUAUGAUCACAGUAACCUAACAUUACUUAGUAGCUAUAACUGGAAGAUUUGGUGUUGCAGAUGUCUCAAGCCUUGAGUGUGCCUGAAUAAACACAUUCGUCAGUAGGAAUUUGUUUUUCAGCUGGAAUUGUUUUAUUUGUAGACAAAUACAGCUUCUGGAUAAAGGAAAGGAAUUGGAUUAUGUAUAUAUUUUGUAAUUCCUUUUUUAGUUUCUCUUAAGGUCAAUGUCAGAAUAUUGACUAGAAUUCUAAUAUGCUAAGCAUGUAACUUGCAAGACUAAAACCCCAACACCAAUUAGAAGCCUCAGAUAAAGCCACAGAAUCAUUCCAUUUAAAGCUGACAGAAUGAUUUUACCAGAAUUAUUAUCAACUUAGUUACC
Molecule: long non-coding RNA, 730 nt
Filed under: Bos taurus (domestic cattle)
Lineage: Eukaryota; Metazoa; Chordata; Mammalia; Artiodactyla; Bovidae
Description: long non-coding RNA NONBTAT015929
Source: RNAcentral